This 505-nucleotide ribosomal RNA is filed under the name uncultured Rhodococcus sp. RNAcentral's name for it is "bacterial SSU rRNA". It matches the Rfam family "Bacterial small subunit ribosomal RNA", at positions 903 to 1382 of the family's 1533-position model. The record is from RNAcentral. Lineage: Bacteria; Bacillati; Actinomycetota; Actinomycetes; Mycobacteriales; Nocardiaceae.
CGCCUUGCCAGCCCGCUCAGAACUUAAAUGAAUUGACGGGGGCCCGCGACAAGCGGCGGAGCAUGUGGAUUAAUUCGAUGCAACGCGAAGAACCUUACCUGGGUUUGACAUACACCGGAAAACCGUAGAGAUACGGUCCCCCUUGUGGUCGGUGUACAGGUGGUGCAUGGCUGUCGUCAGCUCGUGUCGUGAGAUGUUGGGUUAAGUCCCGCAACGAGCGCAACCCUUGUCUUAUGUUGCCAGCACGUGAUGGUGGGGACUCGUAAGAGACUGCCGGGGUCAACUCGGAGGAAGGUGGGGACGACGUCAAGUCAUCAUGCCCCUUAUGUCCAGGGCUUCACACAUGCUACAAUGGCCAGUACAGAGGGCUGCGAGACCGUGAGGUGGAGCGAAUCCCUUAAAGCUGGUCUCAGUUCGGAUCGGGGUCUGCAACUCGACCCCGUGAAGUCGGAGUCGCUAGUAAUCGCAGAUCAGCAACGCUGCGGUGAAUACGUUCCCGGGCCUU